UUUUGACUUUGUAGGAGGAGCCAUUUUCCAAAUGGAUAUACAGCCAUACAGCUUCACACUGCUAAAGAAAGAUAAAGGAGAAGUAGAGAGGCAAGAGGCAAGCAACAUAUUUGAAGAGUAGAAAUGGGAUUCAGAUAUGGAAUUAGCAUUUCACUGGUUGUGUUUCUUCUCUUCACCAAUGUUUGCUUCAUAACACUAGCUGAAUCACAUUGCAAAGCAUGGCUCGUCCAAUCAAUCCCCACCGACAUGCCCCACCUCCGUCGCGUCCCAGGGGUUCUCUCCACCGGUGAUGUGCUCCGUUGGUUGGCUGGUAAUUCCACCAAGAAAUUGGAUAUUAUAGCUCAGUACUGGCAGUUAAUUGCACAUCCUGAUGAUCCUCUUUCUGGGGAUUAUGGAUAUUCGAGAGAUGAUAUGAAAAAGUUCGGAGCUUUUGAAGGUUCUGCCGUUUACAGAGCCAUAGAGGAUGCCGCCGAUCGUAAUGCUAGCAUCAGAUUACUACAGCACUCGGGUGUAUAUCCUGACUACACCAAAGAACCUACUCAACUUGCUUCGGGAAGGCCAAAUGUAAAGAAUGUGACCUUGUUACUUGGGGAAUGGUGGGGAUCAGGUAUAGUUCAUGCCAAGGUUUGGAUAUCUGAUAAUCGAGAUGUGUAUAUUGGAUCUGCAAAUAAUGAUUGGAAAUCUCUCACUCAGGUUAAGGAGGUUGGAAUUUAUCUGGUUGGAUGCCGAAAAAUAGUGAAAAGGGUUGAUACUUAUUUUAAUAACCUAUGGAAACUUGCCCAUCUUAAUUCAUCAGCUUACACUAGAACAGUAUGGGAUCAACAGUGGCAGAUUGAAAGAACAGUUCCAUGCUGGUCACAUUUCAUUGACUCUAAAGCAAGGUGCAGGUCUCCUCUUCCUCAUUUUGUGGAGGUUCCCCAUAUUGCAGGCUAUCCUAUAUUAUCAGACCCGCAUAUGUUUAAAAUUCCAAUUGAAACUCCUGAUCACAAUUUUUCAACUUUGCAGCCUCAACUGAGCUAUCUAUCUUUUGCUCCUCCUGAGGUAAUUGACUAAAUUUUUCCUUUUGCAGUGCUGGUGUUCUAUCACUAUCAGAAUUGUCCCACCAAAUCAAUUGUUAAUUUCAUGUCUUUUGUAGCAUAUAUAGCCUUAUCAUAUGGAUUAGAACCAUUUGGAACAACAAUAAUAUAGAAAGUGAGAAACUGUUUGUCAAAACAAAAAAUACCUACUCUCUCUCUCCCUAAAAAAACUUUUAUGAUCGUUAGAUGCUUCAUGACAGAAAAAUUGUUUGUGAAAGCUCUCGGAUUUUUUGGGUGAUAUAGGCAGCAACAGAUUGAGAUUUCAAUGAAGUUUGAUUGAAAUUUUAUUCAUACCUUCUCCAGUUCUCAUGAUUAUUUCUGGAUCUCUGGAAUUUAUUUGGCUUUUGGAAGCAUGUUUCUGGCUUUAUAGAGUGAAAUUCGGUUGCAUAGCUUCAGUCAAAAUAUGGGUAUCUCCCAAAAUGAUGAAAUGUAGAUGCCUCUAGCUUUUCAUGAUUCACUUCUUUUGAUGCCAUAUUUGGUUAGCAGCUAUUGUUUGGCAAGUACCAGGCUGAUGAACAGGCAUGGAUUGAUACAAUAAAAUCUGUUGGAAGUGGAGCAGUAGUAAGGAUUAAUAUUAUGGAUUGGCUUGGCCAAUCCCAAUAUACAAAGCAAAAGGUUUACUGGUCAUCUCUUUCCUCAGCAAUAUCAGAGGUUGUCUUCUCCAAGCAUGCGACAGUUAAGAUACUGGUAGCAUACUGGGCACAUUUCAUCGACAACACAGAUCAGUAUCUGAAGUCUCUCCUCUAUUCCAAUGUCCUGUGUUCUUCUUCCAAGUAUAACAAAUGUUCUGGUAAAGUAGAGAUCAAAUACUAUGUGGUUCCAGGUUACAACCUGACUGGACCUGCAAAGAGCAACAAGACUAGUACAGGAAACAUAUACCCAGCAUUUACCAGGGUCAAUCAUGGAAAAUAUGCAGUUACUGAUGCGAGAGCUCACAUUGGAACAAGCAACCUUGUGUGGGAUUAUUUCUAUGCAACAGCUGGUGUCAGCUUUGGUACAUAUAAUCCUGCCAUUGUUUUACAACUUCAAGAGAUCUUCGAUGCUGACUGGAAUUCACCAUAUGCUGUUCCAGUGGAAGGGCUGGAGACAGGCCAUUCUUUUUCAAGCUGAUUAGAUUGGCUUGAAUAAGCACAUAAUUUGUUGAGAAGUGUUACAAAUUCCAGCGUACACAAAAGAGCCGAUGACAUUAGUCUCUAAUUGAUCAUCUUAAGUAUAAAGGCAAGCUGCUUUUCCUCUCGCUUUUUCAGCUGUGUCUAAUUCUUUUCCUCUUCCUUGGUUGUUGGGAUUUAAUGUAUUCAUCUGGACCUUCUCAAGUUCUCAAUACCAAAAAAUAGUUGUUGGUUUUCCCUGAAGAAAUAAAGAGAAACGGUUUUGUGUAUAUUAUGGAAAAAUAUUCAUCUCUGUUAAUAACAAUAAGAAAGUCAAUUUCCAC
RNAcentral lists this unclassified non-coding RNA (2508 nucleotides) under Hevea brasiliensis (rubber tree). The record is from RNAcentral. Lineage: Eukaryota; Viridiplantae; Streptophyta; Magnoliopsida; Malpighiales; Euphorbiaceae.